UCCUUGGUUUCCAAGCAACUCUUGUAAAUGUUGCAUUGAAAGUGAUCUAAUCCACUCAACCGGACUGUUGACAACAAUUCAGACUAAUUACGGAAGCUAACCAUAUUCACCAGCAAGGACUUUCCAAAUCUCUUCUCUUGCGCUAUAAGACAAAAAAAAUCCACCCCGUCCAUUUUUGCAUUAACCUGCAUAUCGGUUUAAAGGAGGACGUCUACAGACAAACCCACAAAGUUUCUUUGGAUCUGGGAAGAUUUGGCGAGUGGAAAAGAGGGCAAGCCACCCUCCACUGGGGUCACUUUCACAAGUGGCCUCUGAGAUCCAAGAGAAAAACUCAGUUUGAUUCAGAGGAUUUAAAUAAAGAUUUAUGAGUUCU
This is a non-coding RNA of Pantherophis guttatus, 373 nucleotides long. Lineage: Eukaryota; Metazoa; Chordata; Lepidosauria; Squamata; Colubridae. The record is from RefSeq and is a predicted model, not a curated record.